Molecule: ribosomal RNA, 385 nt
Filed under: uncultured Staphylococcus sp.
Lineage: Bacteria; Bacillati; Bacillota; Bacilli; Caryophanales; Staphylococcaceae
Description: bacterial SSU rRNA
Rfam family: Bacterial small subunit ribosomal RNA
Source: RNAcentral
GAGGAGCUUGCUCCUCUGACGUUAGCGGCGGACGGGUGAGUAACACGUGGAUAACCUACCUAUAAGACUGGGAUAACUUCGGGAAACCGGAGCUAAUACCGGAUAAUAUAUUGAACCGCAUGGUUCAAUAGUGAAAGACGGUUUUGCUGUCACGUGAUAGAUGGAUCCGCGCCGCAUUAGCUAGUUGGUAAGGUAACGGCUUACCAAGGCAACGAUGCGUAGCCGACCUGAGAGGGUGAUCGGCCACACUGGAACUGAGACACGGUCCAGACUCCUACGGGAGGCAGCAGUAGGGAAUCUUCCGCAAUGGGCGAAAGCCUGACGGAGCAACGCCGCGUGAGUGAUGAAGGUCUUCGGAUCGUAAAACUCUGUUAUUAGGGAAGAA